GAGUGAAGCGGCAACAGCUCAAAUUUGAAAUCUGGCCCUAGCGGUCCGAGUUGUAAUUUGUAGAGGAUGCUUUUGGUUAGGUGCCUUCCGAGUUCCCUGGAACGGGACGCCAGAGAGGGUGAGAGCCCCGUACGGUUGGACACCGAGCCUCUGUAUAGCUCCUUCGACGAGUCGAGUAGUUUGGGAAUGCUGCUCUAAAUGGGAGGUAAAUUUCUUCUAAAGCUAAAUACCGGCCAGAGACCGAUAGCGCACAAGUAGAGUGAUCGAAAGAUGAAAAGUACUUUGAAAAGAGGGUUAAAUAGCACGUGAAAUUGUUGAAAGGGAAGCGUUUGCGACCAGACUUUUUCCAGGCGGAUCAUCCGGUGUUCUCACCGGUGCACUUCGCCUGGUUUAGGCCAGCAUCGGUUCUCUUAGGGGGAUAAAGGCCUGGGGAACGUAGCUCCUUCGGGAGUGUUAUAGCCCCUGGCGUAAUACCCUU
This 478-nucleotide ribosomal RNA is filed under the name Xylariales sp. RNAcentral's name for it is "eukaryotic LSU rRNA". It matches the Rfam family "Eukaryotic large subunit ribosomal RNA", at positions 91 to 578 of the family's 3401-position model. Lineage: Eukaryota; Fungi; Ascomycota; Sordariomycetes; Xylariales. The record is from RNAcentral.